Molecule: ribosomal RNA, 160 nt
Filed under: uncultured bacterium
Lineage: Bacteria
Description: partial 16S ribosomal RNA
Rfam family: Bacterial small subunit ribosomal RNA
Source: RNAcentral
UGGGGAAUUUUGGACAAUGGGCGAAAGCCUGAUCCAGCAAUGCCGCGUGUGUGAAGAAGGCCUUCGGGUUGUAAAGCACUUUUGUCCGGAAAGAAAUCGCGCUGGUUAAUACCUGGCGUGGAUGACGGUACCGGAAGAAUAAGCACCGGCUAACUACGUG